GAUGAACGCUAGCUACAGGCUUAACACAUGCAAGUCGAGGGGCAGCAUGGUCUUAGCUUGCUAAGGCCGAUGGCGACCGGCGCACGGGUGAGUAACACGUAUCCAACCUGCCGUCUACUCUUGGACAGCCUUCUGAAAGGAAGAUUAAUACAAGAUGGCAUCAUGAGUCCACAUGUUCACAUGAUUAAAGGUAUUCCGGUAGACGAUGGGGAUGCGUUCCAUUAGAUAGUAGGCGGGGUAACGGCCCACCUAGUCUUCGAUGGAUAGGGGUUCUGAGAGGAAGGUCCCCCACAUUGGAACUGAGACACGGUCCAAACUCCUACGGGAGGCAGCAGUGAGGAAUAUUGGUCAAUGGGCGAGGGCCUGAACCAGCCAAGUAGCGUGAAGGAUGACUGCCCUAUGGGUUGUAAACUUCUUUUAUAAAGGAAUAAAGUCGGGUAUGGAUACCCGUUUGCAUGUACUUUAUGAAUAAGGAUCGGCUAACUCCGUGCCAGCAGCCGCGGUAAUACGGAGGAUCCGAGCGUUAUCCGGAUUUAUUGGGUUUAAAGGGAGCGUAGAUGGAUGUUUAAGUCAGUUGUGAAAGUUUGCGGCUCAACCGUAAAAUUGCAGUUGAUACUGGAUAUCUUGAGUGCAGUUGAGGCAGGCGGAAUUCGUGGUGUAGCGGUGAAAUGCUUAGAUAUCACGAAGAACUCCGAUUGCGAAGGCAGCCUGCUAAGCUGCAACUGACAUUAAGGCUCGAAAGUGUGGGUAUCAAACAGGAUUAGAUACCCUGGUAGUCCACACGGUAAACGAUGAAUACUCGCUGUUUGCGAUAUACAGCAAGCGGCCAAGCGAAAGCGUUAAGUAUUCCACCUGGGGAGUACGCCGGCAACGGUGAAACUCAAAGGAAUUGACGGGGGCCCGCACAAGCGGAGGAACAUGUGGUUUAAUUCGAUGAUACGCGAGGAACCUUACCCGGGCUUAAAUUGCAGAUGAAUUACGGUGAAAGCCGUAAGCCGCAAGGCAUCUGUGAAGGUGCUGCAUGGUUGUCGUCAGCUCGUGCCGUGAGGUGUCGGCUUAAGUGCCAUAACGAGCGCAACCCUUGUUGUCAGUUACUAACAGGUUCCGCUGAGGACUCUGACAAGACUGCCAUCGUAAGAUGUGAGGAAGGUGGGGAUGACGUCAAAUCAGCACGGCCCUUACGUCCGGGGCUACACACGUGUUACAAUGGGGGGUACAGAGGGCCGCUACCACGCGAGUGGAUGCCAAUCCCAAAAACCUCUCUCAGUUCGGACUGGAGUCUGCAACCCGACUCCACGAAGCUGGAUUCGCUAGUAAUCGCGCAUCAGCCACGGCGCGGUGAAUACGUUCCCGGGCCU
This 1358-nucleotide ribosomal RNA is filed under the name uncultured bacterium. Its description in RNAcentral is "bacterial SSU rRNA". It matches the Rfam family "Bacterial small subunit ribosomal RNA", at positions 28 to 1381 of the family's 1533-position model. The record is from RNAcentral.